AAUAAGUGCAGUCGUGGGGAACCGUGUCCGACGUUUGACCGUUCGUCUUGUUUGAAAAAUUUUAAAAAAAUUAGUCACACAUAAAUUACUAUUCAUAUUUUAUCAUCUAAUAACAAUAAAAAUACUAAUCAUAAAAAAAUUUCAAAUAAGACGAAUGGUUAAAAGUUGAACAUGAACACUGUAAAACUACACUUAUU
This is a microRNA precursor of Oryza sativa Japonica Group (Japanese rice), 197 nucleotides long. It matches the Rfam family "MIR812 microRNA precursor family". The record is from Rfam. Lineage: Eukaryota; Viridiplantae; Streptophyta; Magnoliopsida; Poales; Poaceae.